This 1778-nucleotide long non-coding RNA is filed under the name Neodiprion pinetum (white pine sawfly). RNAcentral describes it as "uncharacterized LOC124221203". Lineage: Eukaryota; Metazoa; Arthropoda; Insecta; Hymenoptera; Diprionidae. The record is from RNAcentral.
ACAAUAGCACCUUCAUUUUAAUGACGAUAAGACCAAUUAGCGCUUCGCCGUUUGCUUCCCUAAACCAACCACCUCGCGCUAAUCCCCCACCGAGAUCUCAUGUCCUAAUCAAAAACCUUACUCCCAAUUAUUUCAUCAUCCUUAACCAAUCAUCCGAGACCCGUGAGAAACCGCGACUCUUUUUGAACUCCUCCUACUUUCCCACCAAUUCAACCCUUUCAGAGAACAGAAUAGAACAGACGAACUUCAAACAUCAUAGACAACAGAUCAGAACCUUACCGAAAUCCUAGAAUCAAAUCACAUUAUAAGUAAUUCAGAACCUCCGAGACUUAUUAACAGUUUGUGACUGCGAUAGUGAUUAACAUCAGUUUGUACGACAAUUGUAAACCUACCAUUGAGAACUAGAAGGAGAUCGUUAAUAAAUGUGUAGUUAACCCAAGUGUUGUUAUAAAUAAUUAUUUCAAUCACGCGUAGUGAUGGUUGGCACGAGCCUUACCUAACAAACUCUCAGAAUUGUAGGGGAGUUGAACGAGAAAAUCUGAGGAGCUGAUCAGCGGAUUCCCGAGAUUUAUAUAUACCAACUACGGCUAGCAGUCUAUGUAUAUCUUCAGUCAACAGUACCACGCAUCUAUAAAGCGUACGUGUGAUGUGUUACUCCUCUAUCUGCUUCUGAACAGUUCAAUGACUGCAGAAUUCAGUCAGGGCAUGAGAUUUUCUGUACGAACACUGAAAUGGUUGUUAUGGACAUUCAAAUAUGCUACAUUUGGAAUACCUCUGUGGCAGCGCUACCUGACGGAUUUCAUCGAAAACUUCGCAUAAAUAUCACAGGGACUUGUAUGGACAAACGUAGACUGUUUUCCCACCUGUUUUUACUAGAUGGCGGAGAGGUGUAAAGACGGCCGGCAACACCACUAUAGUGGUGUUGCCAUGAUUCGAACAUAUCCGGGGAACAUUGAAGGAUGAUUAUAUGGACGUAUCCCACCAAACUAGGCAUGUAUCAACGAAAAAAAAUCCCGACCGCCAGCAGAUUAAAGGAUGGACACAUACAGUAUAAAUCAUACUAAAUGAUCUCUAUCUGGACAUUAUAAACCAGCACCAAUGGCUGACCAUUUGUUUAUUUUGUGGAAAUACACUACAUUGAAAUCUGAAGCUGAUGUUAGUUGCCGAUAGCAAGCCGUCAAUUCACUGAAAGUUCUUAUACAGAUUAUUUUUCAUGAUCAAAUUAUUUGAAUCAGUAGAUAAGUAUUAGAAAUGUUAAAACAUCAUUGAUUCGAGUGCUUUUAUCCAUGAUAAUCACUGCAUAUAUGAAAUUUUUGUGAAUCCACAGCUAGCUUUAGCAUCAUCAUUAAAAUAGCGCGUUGCUCCAUUGUUAUUUCAGUGAAUGCUUCAAAUUUCAUUGGAGAUUUGAACGUUAAUUCCCAACGAACAAGUAAAUUAAAUUAAUUAAUACAUGAAAUCGAAUGACUUGUGAACCAGGUAGAAUCUGUUCAUAAAACUCGGCAACAAUGCAAUUGGUUUUAUCAAUGUCUGGUGAGUGGUGGUCAGGUGAGAAUACCACAAAGAGGCAAACCGCAGUAUGUAAUUAACUUGGUUAGCUGGCUAGACCCCAAGAUGCUAGUCAAGAUGCCCCAAUGCUUUGCAUUGAAAUGAAUGCUACUGAAUGCUAUUUCCUAAAAUGUGAUCAUUUUUUUACAGGUAAAAAAAUGAUGAUCCAUAUACCUAUGAGUCCACGUACCUUUAAUAUUGAUAUAAUAUGAUUUAUUGAAAAUCACGAAUUA